Molecule: ribosomal RNA, 498 nt
Filed under: uncultured bacterium
Lineage: Bacteria
Description: partial 16S ribosomal RNA
Rfam family: Bacterial small subunit ribosomal RNA
Source: RNAcentral
GAUGAACGCUGGCGGCGUGCCUAAUACAUGCAAGUCGAGCGAACAGACGAGGAGCUUGCUCCUCUGACGUUAGCGGCGGACGGGUGAGUAACACGUGGAUAACCUACCUAUAAGACUGGGAUAACUUCGGGAAACCGGAGCUAAUACCGGAUAAUAUAUUGAACCGCAUGGUUCAAUAGUGAAAGACGGUUUUGCUGUCACUUAUAGAUGGAUCCGCGCCGCAUUAGCUAGUUGGUAAGGUAACGGCUUACCAAGGCAACGAUGCGUAGCCGACCUGAGAGGGUGAUCGGCCACACUGGAACUGAGACACGGUCCAGACUCCUACGGGAGGCAGCAGUAGGGAAUCUUCCGCAAUGGGCGAAAGCCUGACGGAGCAACGCCGCGUGAGUGAUGAAGGUCUUCGGAUCGUAAAACUCUGUUAUUAGGGAAGAACAAAUGUGUAAGUAACUAUGCACGUCUUGACGGUACCUAAGCAGAAAGCCACGGCUAACUACGUGC